UGAGGAAUAUUGGUCAAUGGGCGAGAGCCUGAACCAGCCAAGUAGCGUGCAGGAUGACGGCCCUAUGGGUUGUAAACUGCUUUUAUGUGGGGAUAAAGUGCGUGACGUGUCAUGCAUUGCAGGUACCACAUGAAUAAGGACCGGCUAAUUCCGUGCCAGCAGCCGCGGUAAUACGGAAGGUCCGGGCGUUAUCCGGAUUUAUUGGGUUUAAAGGGAGCGUAGGCUGUCUAUUAAGCGUGUUGUGAAAUAUACCGGCUCAACCGGUGGCUUGCAGCGCGAACUGGUCGACUUGAGUAUGCAGGAAGUAGGCGGGAUUCAUGGUGUAGCGGUGAAAUGCUUAGGUAUCAUGACGAACUCCGAUUGCGCAGGCAGCUUACUGUAGCAUAACUGACGCUGAUGCUCGAAAGUGCGGGUAUCAAACAGG
RNAcentral lists this ribosomal RNA (424 nucleotides) under Fusobacteriota bacterium. RNAcentral's name for it is "Fusobacteria bacterium partial 16S ribosomal RNA". It matches the Rfam family "Bacterial small subunit ribosomal RNA", at positions 355 to 776 of the family's 1533-position model. The record is from RNAcentral. Lineage: Bacteria; Fusobacteriati; Fusobacteriota.